This 514-nucleotide ribosomal RNA is filed under the name uncultured bacterium. Its description in RNAcentral is "bacterial SSU rRNA". It matches the Rfam family "Bacterial small subunit ribosomal RNA", at positions 28 to 517 of the family's 1533-position model. The record is from RNAcentral.
GAUGAACGCUAACGGUGUGCUUAAUACAUGCAAGUCGAACGGACAAUGUGAAAGUGGCAACACUUUUGCAAAGUCAGUGGCGAACGGGUGAGUAACACGUAGGUAAUCUACCUUAAAGAUCGGGAUAACCUUCCGAAAGGAAGGCUAAUACCGGAUGUUUUAUAUUGAUCUUAUGGUUAAUAUAAAAAAGGUAGCCGCAAGGCCUCCGCUUUAAGAUGAGCCUGCGUCCUAUUAGCUUGUUGGUAAGGUAAUGGCUUACCAAGGCAAUGAUGGGUAGCCGGCCUGAGAGGGUGACCGGCCACACUGGGACUGAGAUACGGCCCAGACUCCUACGGGAGCAGCAGUAGGAAUCUUGCGCAAUGGGCGAAAGCCUGACGCAGCGACACCGUGUGAAGGAUGAAGGUCUUCGGAUUGUAAACUUCUGUCAAUUGGAGACGAAGGUAACAGGGUUAAUAGCCUCUGUUACUGACGGUAUUCAAUAAGGAAGUCUCGGCUAACUCCGUGCCAGCAGCCC